UCCUACGGGGGGCAGCAGUGGGGGAUAUUGCACAAUGGGGGGAACCCUGAUGCAGCGACGCCGCGUGAGUGAAGAAGUAUUUCGGUAUGUAAAGCUCUAUCAGCAGGGAAGAAGAAAGACGGUACCUGAGUAAGAAGCCCCGGCUAACUACGUGCCAGCAGCCGCGGUAAUACGUAGGGGGCAAGCGUUGUCCGGAUUUACUGGGUGCAAAGGGAGCGUAGACGGUAUGGCAAGUCUGAAGUGAAAGCCCCGGGCU
RNAcentral lists this ribosomal RNA (256 nucleotides) under uncultured bacterium. RNAcentral's name for it is "partial 16S ribosomal RNA". It matches the Rfam family "Bacterial small subunit ribosomal RNA", at positions 337 to 609 of the family's 1533-position model. The record is from RNAcentral.